RNAcentral lists this small nucleolar RNA (121 nucleotides) under Echinops telfairi (small Madagascar hedgehog). RNAcentral's name for it is "Small nucleolar RNA SNORA61 (ENSETEG00000025124.1)". Lineage: Eukaryota; Metazoa; Chordata; Mammalia; Afrosoricida; Tenrecidae. The record is from RNAcentral.
ACCUUACAGAGUCCUCACCCCUCAGAUCUAAAUAUUGGUCUGAGUGGCUGAAAAAGGAGGAAAAGUAUAAUUGGAGUGCACUUGGAGUCUGUAAUGGCAUACAAGUUCAUUUCAAACAUUA